RNAcentral lists this ribosomal RNA (356 nucleotides) under uncultured Thermus sp. RNAcentral describes it as "bacterial SSU rRNA". It matches the Rfam family "Bacterial small subunit ribosomal RNA", at positions 1026 to 1382 of the family's 1533-position model. Lineage: Bacteria; Thermotogati; Deinococcota; Deinococci; Thermales; Thermaceae. The record is from RNAcentral.
GCCCUAGCACAGGUGCUGCAUGGCCGUCGUCAGCUCGUGCCGUGAGGUGUUGGGUUAAGUCCCGCAACGAGCGCAACCCCCGCCGUUAGUUGCCAGCGGUUCGGCCGGGCACUCUAACGGGACUGCCCGCGAAAGCGGGAGGAAGGAGGGGACGACGUCUGGUCAGCAUGGCCCUUACGGCCUGGGCGACACACGUGCUACAAUGCCCACUACAAAGCGAGGCCACCCGGCAACGGGGAGCUAAUCGCAAAAAGGUGGGCCCAGUUCGGAUUGGGGUCUGCAACCCGACCCCAUGAAGCCGGAAUCGCUAGUAAUCGCGGAUCAGCCAUGCCGCGGUGAAUACGUUCCCGGGCCUU